AAAAAUUUAGUUAAGUUAUAACAUUAGUUUGUCAUACUAAAAUCAUUAAAUUUUAAUAAUUUUUA
Molecule: transfer RNA, 65 nt
Filed under: Ontholestes tessellatus
Lineage: Eukaryota; Metazoa; Arthropoda; Insecta; Coleoptera; Staphylinidae
Also listed under: 1 other name
Description: tRNA-Asp
Source: RNAcentral